RNAcentral lists this long non-coding RNA (699 nucleotides) under Cricetulus griseus (Chinese hamster). RNAcentral's name for it is "lncRNA (ENSCGRG00000025935.1)". Lineage: Eukaryota; Metazoa; Chordata; Mammalia; Rodentia; Cricetidae. The record is from RNAcentral.
UGCCAUUUGAAGUUGUCAUCUAAAUGUGACAGAAAGAAUUUUAGAAGUGGUAGAAGAGCCAAGUGGACUCAGCGUGGUUAUAGCUGGCAGGCGUUAGGAAGUGUUAAGCCUGCAACUCAGUGUUGUCACAUGUGCUUCUUUGAUAAAAAGCAGAAUAACUUCUCUCUUCCCUGACACUGUGCUAAAUUUUGCAGGUGGUUGGAUGGUAUUCUGAAAAAUAAGAAAUAAAGGUUAAGGAGUGCCUGCCUUCAACCAGGCAGAGCAAGGCAGAUCUUAGUGAUAAACAUAUGAUGCUACGUACAACUUCUCAUUCUUCUCCUCAGUCCAGACCAUACCACUCAUGACUCAGAAUCAUGUGUGAUCUCAGGCCCCUCCUAUGUUUGUUAGUAGAAUCAGCACCUGGAUGAUACAAGAUAUAAUGAAAAAAUGACAUCAAUGCCAGCUGUUCUGUGAUGCAAAGUGCUGAGACUGAGCUAUGCAGCUGUGUGUGUCUACAGUGAAGGAUCACCUGGAUGUUUCAGUGAUGAUGGUGUGGAAGCUACAGUGAGUGAGGAAGAGCACAAGAACAUUCCCCGACACAGAGCAAGAUUAAUGUCACUGGCGUGGACAUUGAACAAUGACCCAUUCCAACCCUGUUUCUAUUUAAACACUCGCAACAAUGUUCUAUACUGAAUAAGUAUUGGAUCAAGGAGACUGAAC